AUUGAACGCUGGCGGAAUGCUUUACACAUGCAAGUCGAACGGCAGCACGGACUUCGGUCUGGUGGCGAGUGGCGAACGGGUGAGUAAUACAUCGGAACGUGCCCGGACGUGGGGGAUAACUACUCGAAAGAGUGGCUAAUACCGCAUACGAUCCAAGGAUGAAAGCGGGGGAUCGCAAGACCUCGCGCGUUUGGAGCGGCCGAUGGCAGAUUAGGUAGUUGGUGAGGUAAAGGCUUACCAAGCCUGCGAUCUGUAGCUGGUCUGAGAGGAUGAUCAGCCACACUGGGACUGAGACACGGCCCAGACUCCUACGGGAGGCAGCAGUGGGGAAUUUUGGACAAUGGGCGAAAGCCUGAUCCAGCCAUUCCGCGUGCAGGAUGAAGGCCCUCGGGUUGUAAACUGCUUUUGUACGGAACGAAAAGGCUCUUGCUAAUACCAGGAGUCCAUGACGGUACCGUAAGAAUAAGCACCGGCUAACUACGUGCCAGCAGCCG
RNAcentral lists this ribosomal RNA (494 nucleotides) under uncultured bacterium. Its description in RNAcentral is "bacterial SSU rRNA". It matches the Rfam family "Bacterial small subunit ribosomal RNA", at positions 30 to 517 of the family's 1533-position model. The record is from RNAcentral.